GACAGAGGAUGCAAGCGUUAUCCGGAAUGAUUGGGCGUAAAGCGUCUGUAGGUGGCUUUUUAAGUUCGCCGUCAAAUCCCAGGGCUCAACCCUGGACAGGUGGUGGAAACUACCAAGCUAGAGUACGGUAGGGGCAGAGGGAAUUUCCGGUGGAGCGAUGAAAUGCGUAGAGAUCGGAAGGAGCACCCAAGGCGAAAGCACUCUGCUGGGCCGACACUGACACUGAGAGACGAAAGCUAGGGGAGCAAAUGGG
Molecule: ribosomal RNA, 253 nt
Filed under: uncultured bacterium
Lineage: Bacteria
Description: partial 16S ribosomal RNA
Rfam family: Bacterial small subunit ribosomal RNA
Source: RNAcentral